AUUGUUCCAAACUAAUUCCUAAUUAGAGAAAUAUCUUUAAUGUCGACUGCCGAGCAUGAGGAGGGACCAUGGUGGCGAGCUAUUUGGCAGUUGGUAACAAGUUAGUCCACCAUCCCACCAAAGACAAAACAGCCAUAACAGCUAUACUGUUUAGCCUUCUCAUGUGCAUAGUUUGGGGGUUGCCGUGUCAAAGAUGACAUCCACUGGGGAGUUGUCCUCUGCAACUAGUGUUAAUUUAGUUCUGUAUCAUCACGAGUCACUUUCACCACAUGGUUAAAACUCACACAUCAGGGGACCAUUUUUCAGGAAAGGUAAUUUCACACGAGUUUUAAGGUCUGAGCAAAUGUUUUUGGUGCCUAUUGAUGGGAGAAAAGUGAGGUCCUUGCCGGUAGUUUUAAGGCAAGUGCAUGCCUACAUGUACGCAUUCUGUUCUUACACUCCUUUUGAGUCUUGGCAAACUAUUAUCGUUAUAGUGAAAUUCUUGCCAGCCUAGGAAUAAUCUGGUGGUUAAAAUUUAAAACUAUAGCUUGAAGUUCUGAUAUUGAAACUUUUCAUGAUGAUACAUAACUCGACCCGCUUCAACACUGAUCAACAAUGGUCUGGUCUCCAAAUCUUGGGAUGCCUUCUGAUAAGCAAGAAAGUGGUGGGAUAGUAACUGUCUGCGUAGCCCCAAAAGCAUUCCAGCAGAAUGGAUCAGCCACAAAUUGCCCUUUAGCAGGAAGGAGUUCUAUAUCUGAAAAUAUAAGGUUAGAACAAGGGACUGAAUCGCUGCAGGCCAAGUGCAAAGGUGGACUCCUUACAUCAUAUGUCCCCUUAAUGUUUAUAUAGGAAAUAUCAGAAAUAUAUACUGCACUUGUUUGGUUAGCGCAUUUCUUGCUCAGGCAGUAGUAUUGGUCUAUAAUAAUUGGGUUCCGGACUGUGUCCAUAUGAAUGUUGUUGAAUGUGACUUCAGAUACAGAGCCGUAGCCUCCUUGCCAUGUCUUGAUUCUAACACCAUUAUCAGAGUGCUUGAUCACUGAAUCAGUGACUGUAACGUUUGAUACACAGGCUUGCGAGUUGCGAAUCCCAAGACUCCCAAUGCUUAUUCCAUGGCUUGGACCACAUGUUAUAUUCCUGAUAUUUACAUCAUGGCAACCAGCUCCAAUUGAUACACAAUCAUCCCCGUUGGAUACGACUGAAUUAUAUAUGUGAACAUUGUUAGUGUUCUCUAUGUGAAUUCCAUCUGUGUUAGGACUUAAAGCUGGUGCUUUAAUGCUGAGCAUUUCUACAAGAACAUUUUGACAGUUAUCAAACCUGAAAUGGAAUUGAGGACUGUUCUUCACUAUAAGUCCUUGGACUGUCAAAUUGGAGCUCAUGAAAAACCUUAUGGCAACUGGGCUGUCACAAGAACCAAGAAGUGCUCUUCCAUUCAUUCCCUGUUUCUUAUUACCAUAGCAUGUUAGUCCAGAGAUAUAAGCAGUUUUCAGUGAAAAUUAUCUGAGAAACAAAGUUGCCCAAAAUGGCCUACUUUGUGAGGCUUGCAGGGCAGGUUCCACCAUUUUUCUCCUCUCCCAUCUAUGACACCUCCCCCUUGCAAUGACAUUUCAUUGAUUUUGUAGAAGACUAGCCAUUGUCGCUUGCUGGUCUUUGUUGGCCAUGAUUCAGGGCCAUCUGGAGGCACUAUGGUUCCAUCAAUCUGAAACACAAGGCCACUUUCGCAAGGUCCUGCGAAGAUAGUAGGUAGUAUCACGAAACUAUAACCAACAGGAGCAAGAAGAACUGACAAUUCUGUCUGGCACUGGCAAGCACCGUCCCAAGCCAUCUUGAAUGCUUGUGUAUCAUCUGAGGAGCCAUCACCCACAGCACCAAAGGAUAGGACAUUGAAAACUCUAGUAGGACUAGGUUCAGGAGUAGGAAAACCUGCAAUGUAACUCCGGCUAGUGGCCUGUGGUGCAGGAGCAGGAACAGGUGGUAGUGAAAUUUGAGAGACUAUAUGCAAGUGUUUGUGUUUUGUGAGGCCAUGAACUACUCUUCCUUCAGUGGAAGUAAAGAAGGGACACGAGUAGAAGGCAAAAACCAGAAGGAAACUUAGAGACAAUGUCAUGGUCAACAUAGCUUUUUA
Molecule: unclassified non-coding RNA, 2101 nt
Filed under: Hevea brasiliensis (rubber tree)
Lineage: Eukaryota; Viridiplantae; Streptophyta; Magnoliopsida; Malpighiales; Euphorbiaceae
Source: RNAcentral